This 301-nucleotide ribosomal RNA is filed under the name uncultured bacterium. Its description in RNAcentral is "partial 16S ribosomal RNA". It matches the Rfam family "Bacterial small subunit ribosomal RNA", at positions 509 to 807 of the family's 1533-position model. The record is from RNAcentral.
CAGUCGCCGCGGUAAUACAGAGGGUGCAAGCGUUAAUCAGAAUUACUGGGCGUAAAGCGCGCGUAGGUGGUUUGUUAAGUUGGAUGUGAAAUCCCCGGGCUCAACCUGGGAACUGCAUCCAAAACUGGCAAGCUAGAGUAUGGUAGAGGGUGGUGGAAUUUCCUGUGUAGCGGUGAAAUGCGUAGAUAUAGGAAGGAACACCAGUGGCGAAGGCGACCACCUGGACUGAUACUGACACUGAGGUGCGAAAGCGUGGGGAGCAAACAGGAUUAGAUACCCCCGUAGUCCCUGUCUCUUAUAC